Molecule: ribosomal RNA, 493 nt
Filed under: uncultured bacterium
Lineage: Bacteria
Description: bacterial SSU rRNA
Rfam family: Bacterial small subunit ribosomal RNA
Source: RNAcentral
AGUGAACGCUGGCGGCAGGCCUAAUACAUGCAAGUCGAAUGGCAGCACAGCAGAGCUUGCUCUGUGGGUGGCGAGUGGCGGACGGGUGAGGAAUACAUGGGAAUCUGCCCAGUCGUGGGGGAUAACGUAUGGAAACGUACGCUAAUACCGCAUGCGCCCUACGGGGGAAAGCCGGGGACCGAAAGGCCUGGCGCGAUUGGAUGAGCCCAUGUUCGAUUAGCUAGUUGGCGGGGUAAAGGCCCACCAAGGCGACGAUCGAUAGCUGGUCUGAGAGGAUGAUCAGCCACACUGGAACUGAGACACGGUCCAGACUCCUACGGGAGGCAGCAGUAGGGAAUAUUGGACAAUGGGGGCGAACCCUCGAUCCAGCCAUGCCGCGUGAGUGAAGAAGGCCUCGGGUUGUAAAGCUCUUUUGUCCGGAAAGAAAAGCAUUCGGUUAAUACCCGGGUGUUCUGACGGUACCGGAAGAAUAAGCACCGGCUAACUUCGUGCC